CAUCCUGUGCAACCGCACGAAAAUCGUUGUCAAGUAGACCAAGUCUCACGAUUCCAGGCGAGUCUUCACAGAGGG
This is a non-coding RNA of Streptococcus dysgalactiae subsp. equisimilis RE378, 75 nucleotides long. Lineage: Bacteria; Bacillati; Bacillota; Bacilli; Lactobacillales; Streptococcaceae. The record is from Rfam.